UUGAACGCUGGCGGCAGGCCUAACACAUGCAAGUCGAGCGGAUGAAGGGAGCUUGCUCCUGGAUUCAGCGGCGGACGGGUGAGUAAUGCCUAGGAAUCUGCCUGGUAGUGGGGGAUAACGCCCGGAAACGGGCGCUAAUACCGCAUACGUCCUGAGGGAGAAAGUGGGGGAUCUUCGGACCUCACGCUAUCAGAUGAGCCUAGGUCGGAUUAGCUAGUUGGUGGGGUAAAGGCCUACCAAGGCGACGAUCCGUAACUGGUCUGAGAGGAUGAUCAGUCACACUGGAACUGAGACACGGUCCAGACUCCUACGGGAGGCAGCAGUGGGGAAUAUUGGACAAUGGGCGAAAGCCUGAUCCAGCCAUGCCGCGUGUGUGAAGAAGGUCUUCGGAUUGUAAAGCACUUUAAGUUGGGAGGAAGGGCAGUAAGUUAAUACCUUGCUGUUUUGACGUUACCAACAGAAUAAGCACCGGCUAACUUCGUG
Molecule: ribosomal RNA, 483 nt
Filed under: uncultured bacterium
Lineage: Bacteria
Description: partial 16S ribosomal RNA
Rfam family: Bacterial small subunit ribosomal RNA
Source: RNAcentral